AAUGACAUGUGUUGGCCCCUCCUCUCCUGCUCUGUGCUGCGCUGCUGAGUUUCAAGCGCAACAACCCGGAGAGCGCAGCAGCGACUUCACCGCUGCAACUUUGAUGACAGGGUUUUUUGGAGCAGUCGAUGAGCGCGUUUGAAGUACCUUGCUGGUGAAGACAAGGGGAUCGAGUACCUGUGAUUUACACCAUCUACUCACCAAAAUGAAACUCCUGAUUUGUAUGAUAGCAGUCGCCUUGGCGGUGGGAUCUGCGCACGGAG
Molecule: long non-coding RNA, 263 nt
Organism: Notothenia coriiceps (black rockcod)
Lineage: Eukaryota; Metazoa; Chordata; Actinopteri; Perciformes; Nototheniidae
Exons: 3
Source: RefSeq, a predicted model, not a curated record